Long non-coding RNA from Brienomyrus brachyistius, 1428 nucleotides. RefSeq lists it as uncharacterized. The transcript has 3 exons. The record is from RefSeq and is a predicted model, not a curated record. NCBI's taxonomy places the organism in Eukaryota, Metazoa, Chordata, Actinopteri, Osteoglossiformes, Mormyridae.
GUCCCGGUUGUAGACACCUGCUGUGUAGCGGGGGCCGGCGCCAAAAGCUAGUGCAUCGUUUUAUGAACAUACUCGAUUGUAAUGUGUGAAUACCUUUAACAGCUGCCGUGAACUCCUAAGUUAUAAUUAUUGUUUUCGUCCGUUUAAAGUUCCCGUCUAUUACUGCACUACAUAGGUUUAUGAAAUUUAAUUAAGCAUAGCAUCAAACGUAGAAAAAUUAUAGGUCUACCUGCGUGUUAUGUACGUCUAUGACAUUUUGGAAUUUUCAAUGCAUUCAUGUCGAUGAUAUAAUGGCCGAUAAUAAUUAAUGAUUGACUAUAAUGUUAGAUUAAUUAUUACACAUGACAUAUUUAAUUUGUUGCCCUUUUUGAAUAGCUGUAUGUGCUGUUGUCGUUCAAAAUAGUUGGAGUCAGUACUACUGACCACUUUGGCACAAAACAAAAACUAAAGGAGAGAUAUAAACUAACAACCUUCUGGGAAAAUAUCCAUCGCAUUAAAUUGGUUCUUUAUGCAAUGCUAUGUCCGUAACACAAAGUAAAAUCGGCAGGAACGGCACGCUUACAUGACAACAUUUUUGCACGAACGACUUAAUUGUAGCUCUGCUAAAUCUAACGUUGUAGAAGCCACCGUUCCAAGUGGGUUUGUUAUUAGAAUUAAACGUUUUGGAAUAUCACAAAAACGAGAACCGCAUGCCACUGUAAGGACUUAACUGUUGGUGUAGUGUUUACCUGAGGGAAUGUAUUGUGUGGUAAUAUGUUACGGGUUAUGCAUUUAGUAUUAGUGCCAAGAAACGUUUGCGUUUGCGAGCAUAAAACUGGCGGAUAAACUGACAUUGCCAACAAAGAAAAAACAGAUGAAUCACCGGAAUUGUUACUGAAGGCAAUUUGUUACUAAAACAGACCACCCGAAGACAGCAGUAAGGCGGAGGACCCCCCUAUAGACAGCAAAUCAGCCCAGCCCAUGUUCUGUUGAGAGCCGCUCGCUCGCUAUGGGCUAUGCCGGGGGAGGUGUUUGUACAGAGCGGGCCCUGCUCCCAGGUUGGUAUGACGACCACAUUGUUUACCCUGCGGUGGUGCGGUAAGGUAGGGUCGUGUGCCUGGAAACCGGGUGGAGAAACUCUGUCUUUGAAGGCGGGCAGAGGGGACACAGUCUAUGUGCCCAGCUCUGAAGUUGCUCACAAUGACAGCCUGUAGAUGCAGCAUAUAAUCAUGAUGAAAUUAAGCAUAAUUACGUAGCUCUGCAUGCCAGCGAAGCCCUCCUUAAAUCAAUACUCCAUCCCUGUUAGACGAAUUUAUUCUUUAUAGGUCUGCAAAUCUGUAUGCCUGUGUUGUUUUUCCAUAUUCACACUGUUCAGAGCCGCAAAGAUUCAGCAGUCUCGCUCAGAUGUACGGAAAUAAAGAGCCGCUGAGGUCAAAAAAAAAAAAAAAC